This 406-nucleotide ribosomal RNA is filed under the name uncultured bacterium. RNAcentral's name for it is "partial 16S ribosomal RNA". It matches the Rfam family "Bacterial small subunit ribosomal RNA", at positions 28 to 526 of the family's 1533-position model. The record is from RNAcentral.
GAUGAACGCUGGCGGCGUGCCUAACACAUGCAAGUCGAACGAGUGGCGGACGUGGGAGUCACGUCGGGGAAACUGCCCGUAGGAGGGGGAUAACUACUGGAAACGGUAGCUAAUACCGUAUACCAUCGGAUGUGCAUAGAUGGGAUUAGCUAGUAGGUGGGGUAACGGCUCACCUAGGCGACGGCCCCUAGCUGGUCUGAGAGGGUGACCGACCACACUGGAACUUAGACACGGUCCAGACUCCUACGGGAGGCAGCAGUGGGGAAUAUUGGGCAAUGGGCGCAAGCCUGAUGCAGCCAUGCCGCGUGUAUGAAGAAGGCCUUCGGAUUGUAAAGUACUUUCAUCGAAGAGGCGUUAUUCGAAGAGGAAGCACCGGCUAACUCCGUGCCAGCAGCCGCGGUAAUAC